UACGUAGGUGGCAAGCGUUGUCCGGAAUUAUUGGGCGUAAAGCGCGCGCAGGCGGUCCUUUACGUCUGGUGUGAAAGCCCACGGCUCAACCGUGGAGGGUCAUUGGAAACUGGGGGACUUGAGUGCAGAAGAGGAAAGCGGAAUUCCACGUGUAGCGGUGAAAUGCGUAGAGAUGUGGAGGAACACCAGUGGCGAAGGCGGCUUUCUGGUCUGUAACUGACGCUGAGGCGCGAAAGCGUGGGGAGCAAACAGG
This 253-nucleotide ribosomal RNA is filed under the name uncultured bacterium. RNAcentral describes it as "partial 16S ribosomal RNA". It matches the Rfam family "Bacterial small subunit ribosomal RNA", at positions 524 to 776 of the family's 1533-position model. The record is from RNAcentral.